CAUGCAAGUCGAGCGAAUGAUAGGGAGCUUGCUCCCUUGAUUUAGCGGCGGACGGGUGAGUAACACGUGGGCAACCUGCCCUGUAGACUGGGAUAACUUCGGGAAACCGGAGCUAAUACCGGAUAAUCCAUUUCCCCUCAUGGGGAAAUGCUGAAAGGCGCUUUCGCGUCACUACAGGAUGGGCCCGCGUCGCAUUAGCUAGUUGGUGGGGUAACGGCCUACCAAGGCGACGAUGCAUAGCCGACCUGAGAGGGUGAUCGGCCACAUUGGGACUGAGACACGGCCCAAACCCCUACGGGAGGCAGCAGUAGGGAAUCUUCCACAAUGGACGAAAGUCUGAUGGAGCAACGCCGCGUGAGUGAUGAAGGUUUUCGGAUCGUAAAACUCUGUUGUAAGGGAAGAACAAGUACGUUAGGAAAUGAACGUACCUUGACGGUACCUUAUUAGAAAGCCACGGCUAACUACGUGCCAGCAGCCGCGGUAAUACGUAGGUGGCAAGCGUUGUCCGGGUUUAUUGGGCGUAAAGCGCGCGCAGGCGGUUUCUUAAGUCUGAUGUGAAAGCCCACGGCUUAACCGUGGAGGGUCAUUGGAAACUGGGAGACUUGAGUGCAGAAGAGGAAAGUGGAAUUCCAAGUGUAGCGGUGAAAUGCGUAGAGAUUUGGAGGAACACCAGUGGCGAAGGCGACUUUCUGGUCUGUAACUGACGCUGAGGCGCGAAAGCAUGGGGAGCAAACAGGAUUAGAUACCCUGGUAGUCCAUGCCGUAAACGAUGAGUGCUAAGUGUUAGGGGGUUUCCGCCCCUUAGUGCUGCAGCUAACGCAUUAAGCACUCCGCCUG
Molecule: ribosomal RNA, 837 nt
Filed under: uncultured bacterium
Lineage: Bacteria
Description: bacterial SSU rRNA
Rfam family: Bacterial small subunit ribosomal RNA
Source: RNAcentral